CGGACGACGCUGGCGGCGUGCUUAACACAUGCAAGUCGAACGGAAAGGCCUCUUUCGAGGGGUGCUCGAGUGGCGAACGGGUGAGUAACACGUGGGUGAUCUGCCCUGCACUUUGGGAUAAGCCUGGGAAACUGGGUCUAAUACCGGAUAGGACCACGGCAUGCAUGUGCUGUGGUGGAAAGCUUUUUGCGGUGUGGGAUGGGCCCGCGGCCUAUCAGCUUGUUGGUGGGGUGAUGGCCUACCAAGGCGACGACGGGUAGCCGGCCUGAGAGGGUGUCCGGCCACACUGGGACUGAGAUACGGCCCAGACUCCUACGGGAGGCAGCAGUGGGGAAUAUUGCACAAUGGGCGCAAGCCUGAUGCAGCGACGCCGCGUGGGGGAUGACGGCCUUCGGGUUGUAAACCUCUUUCACCAUCGGCGAAGCUCCCGGAUAUUUCCGGGAGUGACGGUAGGUGGAGAAGAAGCACCGGCCAACUACGUG
Molecule: ribosomal RNA, 482 nt
Filed under: uncultured bacterium
Lineage: Bacteria
Description: bacterial SSU rRNA
Rfam family: Bacterial small subunit ribosomal RNA
Source: RNAcentral